This 515-nucleotide long non-coding RNA is filed under the name Equus caballus (horse). RNAcentral's name for it is "lncRNA (ENSECAG00000051927.1)". The record is from RNAcentral. Lineage: Eukaryota; Metazoa; Chordata; Mammalia; Perissodactyla; Equidae.
UCUGGCUUGUCCCACCAUCCACUUCAAAAUCUGCUCUUAGCCAUGAGGAGAGGGAUGGUAGGCGCUCUGUGCUUCGCAUGACUGUACAGGUGUGGAGUGUAGGAGAACCAGCCUGGGAUGUGGGAAAAGAAAUGGAAUUGUGGUCCAGCGCCGACACGUUGUUGCUGUCUGACCAGACAAAGAAAAAUCUCUCCAAAGAUGAGAUGAAAGAGAAAUUACAUCAAAUCACUGAAGCGCUGUGGACGACUUUCUUAGUUGGACCGGCAGAGAAGCAGCAAUCAUCCACGUGCUCCGCUUUUGGCCUGCCUUCCCUUUAUUAGACGUUGGCACUGUCAGUCAUACUUACCUCCGGUUGCAUCUCCUCAAAGCAGUUUCCUGUUCUCUUACAGACAAACAUGACAGGCUAGAGUGUAGUUAACAAUACACGAUGCUAGGAUUCCUGGAAAAAAUUCCUACGCCUUUUGAUCUGUCAACUCUGUAAAGAAAUUGAGCCCCAACAAUGUGGUUGAAGUAAG